RNAcentral lists this ribosomal RNA (254 nucleotides) under uncultured bacterium. Its description in RNAcentral is "partial 16S ribosomal RNA". It matches the Rfam family "Bacterial small subunit ribosomal RNA", at positions 524 to 776 of the family's 1533-position model. The record is from RNAcentral.
UACGGAGGGGGCUAGCGUUGUUCGGAAUUACUGGGCGUAAAGCGCGCGUAGGCGGCUUUGCAAGUCGGGUGUGAAAUCCCCAGGCUCAACCUCGGAACUGCCUUCGAUACUGGCGACCUUCGAGUCCGGGAGAGGUGAGUGGAACUCCGAGUAUAGAGGUGAAAUUCGUAGAUAUUCGGAAGAACACCAGUGGCGAAGGCGGCUCACUGGCCCGGUACUGACGCUGAGAUACGAAAGCGUGGGGAGCAAACAGG